Molecule: ribosomal RNA, 119 nt
Filed under: Sinocyclocheilus anshuiensis
Lineage: Eukaryota; Metazoa; Chordata; Actinopteri; Cypriniformes; Cyprinidae
Source: RNAcentral
ACUUAUGGCCUUCCCACCCUGUCUGCACCUGAUGUCGUCUGAUCUCAGAAGCCAAGCAAGUUCUUGCCUGGUUAGUACUUGGAUGGGAGACUGCCUGUGAAUACCAGGUGCUGUAAGCU